GGUUGAUCCUGCCAGUAGUUAUAUGCUCGUUUCGUAGGCUAAGCCAUGCAAAUGUCAGUAUGAGGAGUUAUACAACGAAACUGCGAACAGCUCAUUACAACAAUUAUAGUCUAUGUGGAUAUAAUUGCUACACGGAUACCUGUGGUAAUUCUGGAGCUAAUACGUGAAUCAACAUCCAUUUGGAUGGCACUUAUUGGAUAAGAACCAACCUAUGGCAACAUAGAGAUCUGGUGAUCCAUGAUAAGGUUGCGAAUCGCAUGGCGUAUGCUGGCGAUAUUCCACCUGAGUUUUU
RNAcentral lists this ribosomal RNA (292 nucleotides) under uncultured eukaryote. Its description in RNAcentral is "partial 18S ribosomal RNA". It matches the Rfam family "Eukaryotic small subunit ribosomal RNA", at positions 6 to 308 of the family's 1831-position model. The record is from RNAcentral.